GCUAGCAGGAGAACAACAGGUCCUAGGUUACUGGAGCCAGAGUAGUCCCAACCCCACGCCAGCUAGCAGGAGAACAACAAGUCCUAGGUUACUGGAGCCAGAGUAGUCCCAACCCCACGGCAGCUAGCAGGAGAACAACAGGUCCUAGGUUACUGGAGCCAGAGUAGUCCCAACCCCACGGCAGCUAGCAGGAGAACAAGUCCUAGGUUACUGGAGCCAGAGUAGUCCCAACCCCACGCCAGCUAGCAGGAGAACAACAAGUCCUAGGUUACUGGAGCCAGAGUAGUCCCAACCCCACGGCAGCUAGCAGGAGAACAACAGGUCCUAGGUUACUGGAGCCAGAGUAGUCCCAACCCCACGGCAGCUAGCAG
This is a long non-coding RNA of Oncorhynchus keta (chum salmon), 371 nucleotides long. RefSeq lists it as uncharacterized. The record is from RefSeq and is a predicted model, not a curated record. The transcript has 3 exons. Lineage: Eukaryota; Metazoa; Chordata; Actinopteri; Salmoniformes; Salmonidae.